RNAcentral lists this ribosomal RNA (301 nucleotides) under uncultured bacterium. RNAcentral describes it as "partial 16S ribosomal RNA". It matches the Rfam family "Bacterial small subunit ribosomal RNA", at positions 509 to 809 of the family's 1533-position model. The record is from RNAcentral.
CAGCCGCCGCGGUAAUACGGAGGAUCCAAGCGUUAUCCGGAAUCAUUGGGUUUAAAGGGUCCGUAGGCGGUCUUGUAAGUCAGUGGUGAAAGCCCAUCGCUCAACGGUGGAACGGCCAUUGAUACUGCAGGACUUGAAUUAUUGGGAAGUAACUAGAAUAUGUAGUGUAGCGGUGAAAUGCUUAGAGAUUACAUGGAAUACCAAUUGCGAAGGCAGGUUACUACCAAUUGAUUGACGCUGAUGGACGAAAGCGUGGGUAGCGAACAGGAUUAGAGACCCCCGUAGUCCCUGUCUCUUAUAA